ACGUUGAUAGGUUGGGUGUGUAAGUGCUGUGAGGCAUUGAGCUAACCAAUACUAAUUGCUCGUGAGGCUUGACCAU
RNAcentral lists this ribosomal RNA (76 nucleotides) under Marinomonas foliarum. RNAcentral's name for it is "partial 23S ribosomal RNA". It matches the Rfam family "Bacterial large subunit ribosomal RNA", at positions 2850 to 2925 of the family's 2925-position model. Lineage: Bacteria; Pseudomonadati; Pseudomonadota; Gammaproteobacteria; Oceanospirillales; Oceanospirillaceae. The record is from RNAcentral.